UAAAUACUCCCUCCGUCCAACAAAAGAUGUCUCAAAUUUGUUAAAAUUUAAAUGUAUCUAGAUAUGACUUAGUGUGUAGAUGCAUUCAAAUUUGAUUAAAAUUGAGACAUCUUUUGUUGGACGGAGGAAGUAUUUC
This is a non-coding RNA of Brachypodium distachyon (stiff brome), 136 nucleotides long. NCBI's taxonomy places the organism in Eukaryota, Viridiplantae, Streptophyta, Magnoliopsida, Poales, Poaceae. The record is from Rfam.